CGCAAGCCUGACGGAGCAACGCCGCGUGAGGGACGAAGGCCUCUGGGCUGUAAACCUCUUUUCUCAAGGAAGAAGACAUGACGGUACCUGAGGAAUAAGCCACGGCUAAUUCCGUGCCAGCAGCCGCGGUGAUAAGGGAGUGGCAAGCGUUAUCCGGAAUUAUUGGGCGUAAAGCGUCCGCAGGCGGCCUUGUAAGUCUGUCGUUAAAGCGUGGAGCUUAACUCCAUUUCAGCGAUGGAAACUACAAGGCUUGAGUGUGGUAGGGGCAGAGGGAAUUCCUGGUGUAGCGGUGAAAUGCGUAGAUAUCGGGAAGAACACCAGUGGCGAAGGCGCUCUGCUGGGCCAUCACUGAACCUCAUGGACGAAAGCCAGGGGAACG
RNAcentral lists this ribosomal RNA (379 nucleotides) under uncultured cyanobacterium. RNAcentral describes it as "bacterial SSU rRNA". It matches the Rfam family "Bacterial small subunit ribosomal RNA", at positions 376 to 770 of the family's 1533-position model. Lineage: Bacteria; Bacillati; Cyanobacteriota. The record is from RNAcentral.